RNAcentral lists this ribosomal RNA (798 nucleotides) under uncultured Bacillota bacterium. Its description in RNAcentral is "bacterial SSU rRNA". It matches the Rfam family "Bacterial small subunit ribosomal RNA", at positions 71 to 847 of the family's 1533-position model. The record is from RNAcentral. Lineage: Bacteria; Bacillati; Bacillota.
AAAGUCCCGCAAGGGAUCGGUAGAGUGGCAAACGGGUGAGUAACACGUGGGUGACCUGCCUUCGAGUGGGGGAUAACGUCCCGAAAGGGACGCUAAUACCGCAUGACAUCCUGCCUUUGAAGAGGUGGAGAUCAAAGCUGGGGAUCGCAAGACCUAGCGCUUGAAGAGGGGCCCGCGUCUGAUUAGCUAGUUGGUGAGGUAACGGCUCACCAAGGCUACGAUCAGUAUCCGGCCUGAGAGGGCGGACGGACACACUGGGACUGAGACACGGCCCAGACUCCUACGGGAGGCAGCAGUGGGGAAUUGUUCGCAAUGGGCGCAAGCCUGACGACGCAACGCCGCGUGGAGGAUGAAGACCUUCGGGUCGUAAACUCCUUUCGAUCGAGACGAACGGCUUCCGGGCGAAUAUCCCGGGAGAUUGACGGUACCGAGAGAAGAAGCCCCGGCUAACUCCGUGCCAGCAGCCGCGGUAAUACGGGGGGGGCAAGCGUUGUUCGGAAUUACUGGGCGUAAAGGGCUCGUAGGCGGCCAACUAAGUCAGACGUGAAAUCCCUCGGCUUAACCGGGGAACUGCGUCUGAUACUGGAUGGCUUGAGGUUGGGAGAGGGAUGCGGAAUUCCAGGUGUAGCGGUGAAAUGCGUAGAUAUCUGGAGGAACACCGGUGGCGAAGGCGGCAUCCUGGACCAAAUCUGACGCUGAGGAGCGAAAGCCAGGGGAGCAAACGGGAUUAGAUACCCCGGUAGUCCUGGCCCUAAACGAUGAAUGCUUGGUGUGGCGGGUAUCGAUCCCUGCCGUGCC